This 64-nucleotide transfer RNA is filed under the name Potamanthellus edmundsi. Its description in RNAcentral is "tRNA-Gly". It matches the Rfam family "tRNA". Rfam says of the family: Transfer RNA (tRNA) molecules are approximately 80 nucleotides in length. The record is from RNAcentral. Lineage: Eukaryota; Metazoa; Arthropoda; Insecta; Ephemeroptera; Neoephemeridae.
AUUUAUUUAGUAUAAUUAGUAUAUUUGACUUCCAAUCAAAAAGUCCGGUAAACUGGAAUAAAUA